CAGCAGCCGCGGUAAUACGAAGGGUGCAAGCGUUAAUCGGAAUCACUGGGCGUAAAGCGUGCGUAGGCGGUGAGUUAAGUCUGCUGUGAAAUCCCCGGGCUCAACCUGGGAAUGGCAGUGGAUACUGGCUCGCUAGAGUGUGUCAGAGGAUGGUGGAAUUCCCGGUGUAGCGGUGAAAUGCGUAGAGAUCGGGAGGAACAUCAGUGGCGAAGGCGGCCAUCUGGGACAACACUGACGCUGAUGCGCGAAAGCGUGGGGAGCAAACAGGAUUAGAUACCCCCGUAGUCCCUGUCUCUUAUAC
RNAcentral lists this ribosomal RNA (301 nucleotides) under uncultured bacterium. Its description in RNAcentral is "partial 16S ribosomal RNA". It matches the Rfam family "Bacterial small subunit ribosomal RNA", at positions 509 to 807 of the family's 1533-position model. The record is from RNAcentral.